RNAcentral lists this ribosomal RNA (465 nucleotides) under Vreelandella stevensii. Its description in RNAcentral is "partial 16S ribosomal RNA". It matches the Rfam family "Bacterial small subunit ribosomal RNA", at positions 338 to 795 of the family's 1533-position model. The record is from RNAcentral. Lineage: Bacteria; Pseudomonadati; Pseudomonadota; Gammaproteobacteria; Oceanospirillales; Halomonadaceae.
CCUACGGGGGGCUGCAGUGGGGAAUAUUGGACAAUGGGGGGAACCCUGAUCCAGCCAUGCCGCGUGUGGGAAGAAGGCCCUCGGGUUGUAAAGCACUUUCAGUGAGGAAGAACGCCUGGUGGUUAAUACCCAUCAGGAAAGACAUCACUCACAGAAGAAGCACCGGCUAACUCCGUGCCAGCAGCCGCGGUAAUACGGAGGGUGCGAGCGUUAAUCGGAAUUACUGGGCGUAAAGCGCGCGUAGGUGGCUUGAUAAGCCGGUUGUGAAAGCCCCGGGCUCAACCUGGGAACGGCAUCCGGAACUGUCAAGCUAGAGUGCAGGAGAGGAAGGUAGAAUUCCCGGUGUAGCGGUGAAAUGCGUAGAGAUCGGGAGGAAUACCAGUGGCGAAGGCGGCCUUCUGGACUGACACUGACACUGAGGUGCGAAAGCGUGGGUAGCAAACAGGAUUAGAUACCCCUGUAGUC